RNAcentral lists this ribosomal RNA (253 nucleotides) under uncultured bacterium. RNAcentral describes it as "partial 16S ribosomal RNA". It matches the Rfam family "Bacterial small subunit ribosomal RNA", at positions 524 to 776 of the family's 1533-position model. The record is from RNAcentral.
UACAGAGGUGGCAAGCGUUGUUCGGAAUUACUGGGCGUAAAGGGCGCGUAGGCGGCCUUCUAAGUCAGACGUGAAAUCCCCCGGCUUAACCUGGGAACUGCGUCUGAUACUGGGAGGCUUGAGUAUGGGAGAGGGAUGUAGAAUUCCAGGUGUAGCGGUGAAAUGCGUAGAUAUCUGGAGGAACACCGGUGGCGAAGGCGGCAUCCUGGACCAAUUCUGACGCUGAGGAGCGAAAGCCAGGGGAGCAAACGGG